CACCGAGCAGACCGACAGUCAGACCGAGUCCACAGAACACUGCAGGUCCAAUACUGGGUUCAGGCUUCUCCACAUCUGGAGACAGAAAGACACAAACAUUAACACACUGCAGGUCCAAUACUGGGUUCAGGCUUCUCCACAUCUGGAGACAGAAAGACACAAACAUUAACACACUGCAGGUCCAAUACUGGGUUCAGGCUUCUCCACAUCUGGAGACAGAAAGACACAAACAUUAACACACUGCAGCUGCACCUCCACAUCUGGAGACAGAAACAUUAAUGCAGCUACACCUCCACAUCUGGAGACAGAAACAUUAACACACUGCAGCUACACCUCCACAUCUGG
This is a long non-coding RNA of Dicentrarchus labrax (European seabass), 345 nucleotides long. RefSeq lists it as uncharacterized. The transcript is spliced from 3 exons. Lineage: Eukaryota; Metazoa; Chordata; Actinopteri; Moronidae. The record is from RefSeq and is a predicted model, not a curated record.